AUGCAGGUAAAGUUACAAUGUAGCUGUGAAGUGCUGUGUUGUCGUUCCCCCUGCAUAAAACAAAAUUGUCUCUAUUCUAUCUUUGUCUGUUUUGAUUCCGUAGCAGACAAAGACGCUUGGUUUCAUACAU
This 130-nucleotide small nucleolar RNA is filed under the name Ophiophagus hannah (king cobra). RNAcentral's name for it is "Small nucleolar RNA SNORA63". It matches the Rfam family "Small nucleolar RNA SNORA63". Rfam says of the family: E3 belongs to the H/ACA class of snoRNAs and is involved in the processing of eukaryotic pre-rRNA and has regions of complementarity to 18S rRNA. Lineage: Eukaryota; Metazoa; Chordata; Lepidosauria; Squamata; Elapidae. The record is from Rfam by way of RNAcentral.